CGUGUAGGUGGUUGCUUAAGUCAGAUGUGAAAUCUCCCCGCUCAACGGGGAAACUGCAUUUGAUACUGAGCGACUUGAGUGCAGGGGAAGGGAACGGAAUUCUCGGUGUAGCGGUGAAAUGCGUAGAUAUUGAGAAGAACACCUGUGGCGGAGGCGGUUCUCUAUCCUGUAACUGACACUGAGGCGCGAAAGCGUGGGGAGCGAACG
RNAcentral lists this ribosomal RNA (207 nucleotides) under uncultured bacterium. Its description in RNAcentral is "partial 16S ribosomal RNA". It matches the Rfam family "Bacterial small subunit ribosomal RNA", at positions 568 to 774 of the family's 1533-position model. The record is from RNAcentral.